Molecule: long non-coding RNA, 501 nt
Organism: Procambarus clarkii (red swamp crayfish)
Lineage: Eukaryota; Metazoa; Arthropoda; Malacostraca; Decapoda; Cambaridae
Source: RefSeq, a predicted model, not a curated record
CUUCCGCACGUACUCAUCUCGAUUGUGCGCGUACCCGCUUCCUCAGUACCCACUCAGCCAUCGCUGCAGCCGCACGCGUCUCUCAUCAACAUCGACAUGAAGAGGUGGAGCAUUGUGUUGAUCGUGGUGUUCAGCCUCCUGGUUGGGACCGUCGUCUCCGAACCACAAGUUAGAGCUACGAGAAAAGGGCUUUUCGAGAUCUGCAAGCGGAUGAGGCCUAACUGUAAAGUUGAGCCCCCUCACGUGUGCUGUCGGGUCACUGGUGAUUCCCCGGCUGUCAUCACACUCAAUCACAGUGUCAAGCUUAAAUGACCUGGGACUCAUUAAUCUAUUGGACAUCGGCCAUCUCCUAUAGGAUGAAGACUGUCAGAUUGGGAAAUAGGAGUCUUGCUGCUAGUCUUGCUGCUAGUCUUGCUGCUAGUCUUGCUGCUAGUCUUGCUGCUAGUCUCGCUGCUAGUCUUGCUGCUAGUCUUGCUGCUAGUCUUGCUGCUAGUCUUGCUG